ACAGUCCAACACGGGGUAUCACAGUCAACGCACAGGGUAUCACAGUCAAAGCACAGGGUAUCACAGUCAAACACGGGGUAUCACAGUCAAAGCACAGGGUAUCACAGUCAAAGCACGGGGUAUCACAGUCAAACACGGGGUAUCACAGUCAAAGCACAGGGUAUCACAGUCAAAGCACGGGGUAUCACAGUCAAAGCACAGGGUAUCACAGUCAAACACGGGGUAUCACAGUCAAAGCACAGGGUAUCACAGUCAAAGCACGGGGUAUCACAGUCAAACACGGGUAAUCACAGUCAAAGCACAGGGUAUCACAGUCAAAGCACAGGGUAUCACAGUCAAAGCACAGGGUAUCACAGUCAAAGCACGGGGUAUCACAGUCAAAGCACGGGGUAUCACAGUCAAACACGGGGUAUCACAGUCAAACACGGGGUAUCACAGUCAAACACGGGGUAUCACAGUCAAAGCACAAUGGAAAGUCAAGUUUAUCUACAGAAUGAAAGUGUACACAUCAUCAAAAUAUGCAAAUAUACUCGGUAUAUAUAGCUGAGAACAGCAUUUUAGGAUAACUGUAUUCGCAGUAACUUUUAUGUCAGUAAUAGCGAGCCUUAAGGUAUAUCUGCUACCACAAGCAGCAUUAUAGAAAAGCUCCAAGAAUUCCAGGGUAGUGAUGGGACAUUGGUUGGCAAUUAUAGAUGAUUAGCAGUUCUGAUGUAACCACUAUUAUAAACUGAAGUCCCAUCACUACCCUA
This 749-nucleotide small RNA is filed under the name Spisula solidissima (Atlantic surf clam). RNAcentral describes it as "cnRNA208". The record is from RNAcentral. Lineage: Eukaryota; Metazoa; Mollusca; Bivalvia; Venerida; Mactridae.